RNAcentral lists this ribosomal RNA (337 nucleotides) under Chrysomya rufifacies (hairy maggot blowfly). RNAcentral's name for it is "partial 28S ribosomal RNA". Lineage: Eukaryota; Metazoa; Arthropoda; Insecta; Diptera; Calliphoridae. The record is from RNAcentral.
GGGUGGCACAAUACUUGUUCGAGCGAACAGUGGUAUGACGCUACGUCCGUUGGAUUAUGCCUGAWCGCCUCUAAGGUCGUAUCCAAGCUGGACUGCAAUGAUAAAAAUGGGGCAAUUGCAUUGUAUGGCUCUUAAACCAUUUAAAGUUUAUCUUUGAUAAACGACAAUGGAUUGUGAUGCCAAUGUUAUUUGUAACAUAGCAAGUGCAGGAGGAUAUUAUCACCUGUACGCCGCGCUAGUUACUUAUAAAAACAUUAUUUAAUACAAUGACAUAGCCUAGAAUCAAUUGUAAACGACUUUUGUAACGGGCAAGGUGUUGUAAGUGGUAGAGCAGCAG